AGAUUUUCGAAUCCGUGCAGAGAUUUUGUCAGACACCAAACCAUUUAGGCUGACUAGACGUCCAAGAUAAGUGAAGUU
RNAcentral lists this microRNA precursor (78 nucleotides) under Schistosoma curassoni. Its description in RNAcentral is "mir-3492 microRNA precursor family". It matches the Rfam family "mir-3492 microRNA precursor family". Lineage: Eukaryota; Metazoa; Platyhelminthes; Trematoda; Strigeidida; Schistosomatidae. The record is from Rfam by way of RNAcentral.